RNAcentral lists this non-coding RNA (23 nucleotides) under Cricetulus griseus (Chinese hamster). The record is from RNAcentral. Lineage: Eukaryota; Metazoa; Chordata; Mammalia; Rodentia; Cricetidae.
ACAAUGCCCGUCGUCUGACUGGG